UACGGGGGGGGCAAGCGUUGUUCGGAAUUACUGGGCGUAAAGGGCUCGUAGGCGGCCAACUAAGUCAGACGUGAAAUCCCUCGGCUUAACCGGGGAACUGCAUCCGAUACUGGAUGGCUUGAAUUCGGGAGAGGGAUGCAGAAUUCCAGGUGUAGCGGUGAAAUGCGUAGAUAUUGGGAGGAACACCAGUGGCGAAGGCGGCUCACUGGACCGGAACUGACGCUGAGGCGCGAAAGCGUGGGGAGCAAACAGG
This 253-nucleotide ribosomal RNA is filed under the name uncultured bacterium. RNAcentral's name for it is "partial 16S ribosomal RNA". It matches the Rfam family "Bacterial small subunit ribosomal RNA", at positions 524 to 776 of the family's 1533-position model. The record is from RNAcentral.